UGAACAAUAUAAAAUAAAUCUCUGACGUCACCAAAAGCGCGGGCUUCCCGAGGACUGAGGUGAGCUCGUGACUCCAACCUGCCUCCUCAAAGAAGUCAAAGGAAGAACAGAAACGGACCACCUCAAGGCAAAAUAUGAAGCGUCGGGGAAAAAAAACAAACUCCUGCAAUUUGGUUGGACUUGAAGCAGUUCUGAAAAGUUCUCUAUAAACACAAAGGUUGGCUUCAGUUCAUUCUACAACCCACCUGUGAACUCCAGUCAAGCAGGUUCUGUGAUUGGCCUGCUGCAGACUCCGCCUACCUUUGUUUCGGGUGGCGGGCAUCUGAGAGAAGUGAGCCAGGAAGCCGG
Long non-coding RNA from Anguilla rostrata (American eel), 348 nucleotides. RefSeq lists it as uncharacterized. The transcript is spliced from 3 exons. The record is from RefSeq and is a predicted model, not a curated record. NCBI's taxonomy places the organism in Eukaryota, Metazoa, Chordata, Actinopteri, Anguilliformes, Anguillidae.